AUGGAUUUUUUGUUCCUUUCAGGUUGAUAACGAUCCCCCGAGGGCCAGGAACUGCAUAGACCACGGCGAGGGCAAUGAGCAGCAAGGCAAGGACCUUCUCCAUGACGAACGGCAGCACAGCUGGAUCAGGGAGCGACUGGCAGGUUCAAGGCCGGG
This is a long non-coding RNA of Zalophus californianus (California sea lion), 156 nucleotides long. RefSeq lists it as uncharacterized. The transcript has 3 exons. The record is from RefSeq and is a predicted model, not a curated record. NCBI's taxonomy places the organism in Eukaryota, Metazoa, Chordata, Mammalia, Carnivora, Otariidae.